GGGGUGAGUAACACGUGGGCAACCUGCCCCAAAGCGGGGGAUAACAUUUGGAAACAGGUGCUAAUACCGCAUAACUUGGAAAACCACAUGGUUUUCCAAUAAAAGAUGGUUUCGGCUAUCACUUUGGGAUGGGCCCGCGGUGCAUUAGCUAGUUGGUAAGGUAACGGCUUACCAAGGCGAUGAUGCAUAGCCGAGUUGAGAGACUGAUCGGCCACAAUGGAAUUGAGACACGGUCCAUACUCCUACGGGAGGCAGCAGUAGGGAAUCUUCCACAAUGGGCGCAAGCCUGAUGGAGCAACACCGCGUGAGUGAAGAAGGGUUUCGGCUCGUAAAACUCUGUUGUUGGAGAAGAACGUGCGUAAGAGUAACUGUUUACGCAGUGACGGUAUCCAACCAGAAAGUCACGGCUAACUACGUGCCAGCAGCCGCGGUAAUACGUAGGUGGCAAGCGUUAUCCGGAUUUAUUGGGCGUAAAGCGAGCGCAGGCGGUUGCUUAGGUCUGAUGUGAAAGCCUUCGGCUUAACCGAAGAAGUGCAUCGGAAACCGGGCGACUUGAGUGCAGAAGAGGACAGUGGAACUCCAUGUGUAGCGGUGGAAUGCGUAGAUAUAUGGAAGAACACCAGUGGCGAAGGCGGCUGUCUGGUCUGCAACUGACGCUGAGGCUCGAAAGCAUGGGUAGCGAACAGGAUUAGAUACCCUGGUAGUCCAUGCCGUAAACGAUGAGUGCUAGGUGUUGGAGGGUUUCCGCCCUUCAGUGCCGAAGCUAACGCAUUAAGCACUCCGCCUGGGGAGUACGACCGCAAGGUUGAAACUCAAAGGAAUUGACGGGGGCCCGCACAAGCGGUGGAGCAUGUGGUUUAAUUCGAACCAACGCGAAGAACCUUACCAGGUCUUGACAUCCUUCUGACUGCACCUUAAUCGGUGCUUUCCUUCGGGACAGAAGAGACAGGUGGUGCAUGGUUGUCGUCAGCUCGUGUCGUGAGAUGUUGGGUUAAGUCCCGCAACGAGCGCAACCCCUAUCUUCAGUAGCCAGCAGGUAAGGCUGGGCGCUCUGGAGAGACUGCCAGGGAUAACCUGGAGGAAGGUGGGGACGACGUCAAAUCAUCAUGCCCCUUAUGAUCUGGGCGACACACGUGCUACAAUGGCGGUCACAGAGUGAGGCGAACCCGCGAGGGGGAGCAAACCACAAAAAGGCCGUCCCAGUUCGGACUGUAGUCUGCAACCCGACUACACGAAGCCGGAAUCGCUAGUAAUCGCGAAUCAGAAUGUCGCGGUGAAUACGUUCCCGGGUCUUGUACACACCGCCCGUCACACCAUGGGAGUCGGAAAUGCCCGAAGCCAGUGACCCAACCUUUUGGAGGGAGCUGUCGAAGGUGGAGCCGGUAACUGGGGUGAAGUCGAAACAAGGUA
This 1410-nucleotide ribosomal RNA is filed under the name metagenome. RNAcentral's name for it is "bacterial SSU rRNA". It matches the Rfam family "Bacterial small subunit ribosomal RNA". The record is from RNAcentral.